Molecule: ribosomal RNA, 538 nt
Filed under: Prorocentrum leve
Lineage: Eukaryota; Dinophyceae; Prorocentrales; Prorocentraceae
Description: eukaryotic LSU rRNA
Rfam family: Eukaryotic large subunit ribosomal RNA
Source: RNAcentral
AGGGAGUAGUUCAGUUUGGAAAUUGGGGCCCCUUGGCCUUGAAUUGUAGUUUGGAGAUGUGCCGCCAAUGGAGGCGUAGAUGUAUACCUCUUGGAAGAGAGUAUCAGUGAGGGUGAGAGUCCCGUUUGCCAUCUGCAGCCCGCUGUGCACGGGGCGCUUCCAAAGAGUCACGUUCCUCGGAACUGGAGCGCAAAGUGGGUGGUAACUUUCAUCUCAAGCUGAAUACGGUUUCGAGACCGAUAGUGAACAAGUACCAUGAGGGAAAGGUGAAAAGGACUUUGAGAAGAGAGUUACAAGUGCCUGAAAUCGCUGGAAGCAAAGCGAAGGGAACUAUGGCUGCUUGGUAAAAUCUUCUGCGCGCUCACAGGAUGGCUUGCUGUUUCAACGCAAGUGCGGCAGCUAGUCCCCAUCGAAGCGUGCGCUGUGUUUUUUGCCGCGCAUGUCAACGCCAACUUGCAAAUGAGGAAUGCUUCAGGGACACGACAACCUGCCUCCGGGCAGAUGAACGUGCCUSGCAGGAUUCGUUUGCCCAUUGAUU